CAGUCGCCGCGGGAAUACGAAGGGGGCUAGCGUUGUUCGGAUUUACUGGGCGUAAAGGGCGCGUAGGCGGACUGAUAAGUCAGGGGUGAAAUCCCAAGGCUCAACCUUGGAGCUGCCUUUGAUACUGUUUGUCUUGAGUUCGAGAGAGGUAAGUGGAACUGCGAGUGUAGAGGUGAAAUUCGUAGAUAUUCGCAAGAACACCAGUGGCGAAGGCGGCUUACUGGCUCGAAACUGACGCUGAGGCGCGAAAGCGUGGGGAGCAAACAGGAUUAGAUACCCCAGUAGUCCCUGUCUCUUAUAC
RNAcentral lists this ribosomal RNA (301 nucleotides) under uncultured bacterium. Its description in RNAcentral is "partial 16S ribosomal RNA". It matches the Rfam family "Bacterial small subunit ribosomal RNA", at positions 509 to 807 of the family's 1533-position model. The record is from RNAcentral.